This 515-nucleotide ribosomal RNA is filed under the name uncultured bacterium. Its description in RNAcentral is "partial 16S ribosomal RNA". It matches the Rfam family "Bacterial small subunit ribosomal RNA", at positions 28 to 523 of the family's 1533-position model. The record is from RNAcentral.
GAUGAACGCUGGCGGCGUGCCUAAUACAUGCAAGUCGAGCGAAUGGAUCAAGAGCUUGCUCUUAUGAAGCUAGCGGCGGACGGGUGAGUAACACGUGGGUAACCUGCCCAUAAGACUGGGAUAACUCCGGGAAACCGGGGCUAAUACCGGAUAACAUUUUGAACCGCAUGGUUCGAAAUUGAAAGGCGGCUUCGGCUGUCACUUAUGAAUGGACCCGCGUCGCAUUAGCUAGUUGGUGAGGUAACGGCUCACCAAGGCAACGAUGCGUAGCCGACCUGAGAGGGUGAUCGGCCACACUGGGAAUGAGACACGGCCCAGACUCCUACGGGAGGCAGCAGUAGGGAAUCUUCCGCAAUGGACGAAAGUCUGACGGAGCAACGCCGCGUGAGUGAUGAAGGCUUUCGGGUCGUAAAACUCUGUUGUUAGGGAAGAACAAGUGCUAGUUGAAUAAGCUGGCACCUUGACGGUACCUAACCAGAAAGCCACGGCUAACUACGUGCCAGCAGCCGCGGUAA